This 274-nucleotide long non-coding RNA is filed under the name Brassica napus (rape). RNAcentral's name for it is "long non-coding RNA (BNAP_LNC017194)". The record is from RNAcentral. Lineage: Eukaryota; Viridiplantae; Streptophyta; Magnoliopsida; Brassicales; Brassicaceae.
UGUUUUGUCGUGAUAUAGUUUGUAUAUUUUACAAGUAGAUCUAGAUUCUUGAGAUUAUAGUAUUAUUCAAAUAUAAUGAACUUUUCGUCUAUAUAUCAGGGGCGGAGAUAGAAUUUUUUUUUAUGGGAGGCAUUGGUGUAAAUAUAUAGGGGUAGAAUAACAUAAUGGAAGUUGUUUAUAAAAGUAUACAUGUAAUUUUGAAAAGUCAUCAGGGGCAACUGCCCACCACUUAGUCUAUGUGGCUCCGCCAAUAUAUAACUGCAAGCGUCAAACA